This 161-nucleotide ribosomal RNA is filed under the name uncultured Streptococcus sp. RNAcentral's name for it is "partial 16S ribosomal RNA". It matches the Rfam family "Bacterial small subunit ribosomal RNA", at positions 355 to 507 of the family's 1533-position model. The record is from RNAcentral. Lineage: Bacteria; Bacillati; Bacillota; Bacilli; Lactobacillales; Streptococcaceae.
UAGGGAAUCUUCGGCAAUGGACGGGAGUCUGACCGAGCAACGCCGCGUGAGUGGAGAAGGUUUUCGGAUCGUAAAGCUCUGUUGUAAGAGAAGAACGAGUGUGAGAGUGGAAAGUUCACACUGUGACGGUAUCUUACCAGAAAGGGACGGCUAACUACGUG